This 788-nucleotide long non-coding RNA is filed under the name Takifugu rubripes (torafugu). RNAcentral describes it as "lncRNA (ENSTRUG00000033300.1)". The record is from RNAcentral. Lineage: Eukaryota; Metazoa; Chordata; Actinopteri; Tetraodontiformes; Tetraodontidae.
AUGAUGAGGACCAUGGUAGCCCUGUGCAUUCUUCUGGCCUGCAUCGCCGUUUGCACGUCGUCACCGGCCUGCCGAUGCCUGAACACAGUAGCAGCCGUGAAUCCUUCCCACGUGGUCGAUGUCGUCGAGUACGGUCCUCGCCCCUACUGCAGGAGGCAAGAAGUCAUUGUCAUCCUGAAAAACAAGAGGCCACGCUGCCUUGACCCCAAAGGACAAUUCGCCCAGGGACUACUUUGGGCCAAACGGCGUAUGGAGGAACACGCUGCUCGGUUGAAGAGCAGCAGGUCAGCUAAAACCACAGCAGCAAGAGGAAGCGCAGCUCCGCCCGCUCAAGUGCUGUGAUUUCUGUUUUUGUGUCUUUAUUCGACUGCACAUUACAACAUCUCAACUGGAUUAAGAUUGUAUUUAAGAGUAUUUAAACUGUGAACGUAUUUAAUGAAGCAACAUAUUUAAUCGCUUGUCUUUUUUUUAUACAAUAAAAGUUGAACUGAAUUGAAUCGGUUGUGCAUUUUGUUUGUUUUUCAACAAAAAAAAAUCUUGUUUUUGCUCUUAAUUCAUUUGCUGUUAAUAAGUUCUCUUUUUGAGGGAGCAGACAUGCUCAAAAGCAAAAUUUUUCAUUUAGACAAUAUAUAUUAUGAGUAUAUUAUUAUAGAUUUUGGGUCCCAGACGUGGUCGUGCUCUACAGCGCCACCUAUGCACAGGUUAUGGCAGGAAACCCGCGACAUGGUUUCCACCUGUGUGCCUGAUGUUUGGUGGGGUCAUGUAACAUCCCAGGCUGUCCCAUAAUG